CAGCCGCCGCGGGAAUACGAAGGGUGCAAGCGUUAAUCGGAAUUACUGGGCGUAAAGCGUGCGUAGGCGGUUUGUUAAGUCUGCUGUGAAAUCCCCGGGCUCAACCUGGGAAUGGCAGUGGAUACUGGCAAGCUAGAGUGUGCCAGAGGAUGGUGGAAUUCCCGGUGUAGCGGUGAAAUGCGUAGAGAUCGGGAGGAACAUCAGUGGCGAAGGCGGCCAUCUGGGACAACACUGACGCUGAGGCACGAAAGCGUGGGGAGCAAACAGGAUUAGAUACCCCAGUAGUCCCUGUCUCUUAUAC
Molecule: ribosomal RNA, 301 nt
Filed under: uncultured bacterium
Lineage: Bacteria
Description: partial 16S ribosomal RNA
Rfam family: Bacterial small subunit ribosomal RNA
Source: RNAcentral